This 621-nucleotide ribosomal RNA is filed under the name uncultured bacterium. Its description in RNAcentral is "bacterial SSU rRNA". It matches the Rfam family "Bacterial small subunit ribosomal RNA", at positions 771 to 1392 of the family's 1533-position model. The record is from RNAcentral.
AACAGGAUUAGAUAGCCUGGUAGUCCACGCCGUAAACGAUGAGUGCUAGGUGUUAGGCCCUUUCCGGGGCUUAGUGCCGCAGCUAACGCAUUAAGCACUCCGCCUGGGGAGUACGACCGCAAGGUUGAAACUCAAAGGAAUUGACGGGGGCCCGCACAAGCGGUGGGGCAUGUGGUUUAAUUCGAAGCAACGCGAAGAACCUUACCAGGUCUUGACAUCCCGAUGCUAUCCCUAGAGAUAGGAAGUUUCUUCGGAACAUCGGUGACAGGUGGUGCAUGGUUGUCGUCAGCUCGUGUCGUGAGAUGUUGGGUUAAGUCCCGCAACGAGCGCAACCCCUAUUGUUAGUUGCCAUCAUUAAGUUGGGCACUCUAGCGAGACUGCCGGUAAUAAACCGGAGGAAGGUGGGGAUGACGUCAAAUCAUCAUGCCCCUUAUGACCUGGGCUACACACAUGCUACAAUGGUUGGUACAACGAGUCGCGAGUCGGUGACGGCAAGCAAAUCUCUUAAAGCCAAUCUCAGUUCGGAUUGUAGGCUGCAACUCGCCUACAUGAAGUCGGAAUCGCUAGUAAUCGCGGAUCAGCACGCCGCGGUGAAUACGUUCCCGGGUCUUGUACACACCG